CAUCAAUAACUAAUGUAACUGGGAAGAACAUUUAGCUGAAGAGUAAAUAAAGAGAAAACAAUUAAUUUCCCUCCACACAAUAGCCUUAUCUUGAAUUGCUCUCAUUUGUUGCCACUCUUUCUCCUCUACCAUAACCAUCACAUUUCAAGAUUUCCCACAAUGCGCAGAGUUUUUCAACUUCUACUUUCCCUUCACUUCUGCAACCGCCAUUUUUGCCGCCACAAAAUAAAAUGGCGACCAAACUUGGGUUCAGUAU
RNAcentral lists this long non-coding RNA (256 nucleotides) under Nicotiana benthamiana. Its description in RNAcentral is "long non-coding RNA (NBEN_LNC001345)". Lineage: Eukaryota; Viridiplantae; Streptophyta; Magnoliopsida; Solanales; Solanaceae. The record is from RNAcentral.